AACAAGAAUAAAACAUUUAAAAACAAGUCUGCAUGACGAUUAUCAAAUAUUGAAGACAAUGAAUUUAAUUUAUAUAUAUAUAUAUAUAUAUAUAUAUUAAUGACCCAGAAUGCUUAAUACAUGAACAGAAGCUCUGUCAUUUAAUAUUUCAGCUCCUCAUGUGUCAUAUCUCUAAAUUUAGAGGCAGUUUUUGUUGUGAUGGAUGUUGUGAUGUUUCAGUGGCCCACGCUGAUCAGGUGAUGAGGUGGGCUGAGGAGUGAGGAAGUUUGGGUGAUGUCUCAACAUCUCAAUCACCAGAUUUCACCCUUAUUAAGAGAGUUUAUAAAGGAUUCUGGAAGCAUCAGCUCUUUUUUUAGUUUAGAUUAAGAGAACUGUGAAGACAGAGGUGCUAGAUUGAAGGUAAAUCACAUUUAUUUAUAUGUACUGAUGUUCCCUAUGUGAUUUUUUUUUAUUUUUUAGGAAAAUCCACUUGUUCAGACCGAGUCAAACCAAUCAAAUCAACCCAGUAGUGGGAUGUUUGGAUGGAUUUUCAGGAACCCGUUCGGCUCCUCAGUUCAGGAGCGGGAAAAAGCAGAGCCGCCUGGAGAUACACACUCAGAAUCCACCCAGAAGACUAGCUCAUGUCCUGAUGGGACGACUGAAGAAGACAGCUCCUUAAAUCAGGUACAGACAGCCCUGAUCCCGUUACAUUUAACAUUAACCUUUACAAAAGAGAACAGACCAGAGAGAGAGAGAGUACAGUAGGUCAUGCUGCUGUUUCUCCAUCAGCAGCCAGAGUCUGAGAGAGAGAGAGAGAGUACAGUAGGUCAUGCUGCUGUUUCUCCACCAGCAGCCAGAGUCUGAGAGAGAGAGAGAGAGAGAGAGAG
This 866-nucleotide long non-coding RNA is filed under the name Astyanax mexicanus (Mexican tetra). RNAcentral's name for it is "lncRNA (ENSAMXG00005003562.1)". Lineage: Eukaryota; Metazoa; Chordata; Actinopteri; Characiformes; Acestrorhamphidae. The record is from RNAcentral.